CCUACGGGGCUGCAGUGGGGAAUAUUGGACAAUGGGCGAAAGCCUGAUCCAGCCAUGCCGCGUGUGUGAAGAAGGCCUUCGGGUUGUAAAGCACUUUCAGUGGGGAAGAAAGCCUUGGGGCUAAUACCCUCGAGGAAGGACAUCACCCACAGAAGAAGCACCGGCUAACUCCGUGCCAGCAGCCGCGGUAAUACGGAGGGUGCGAGCGUUAAUCGGAAUUACUGGGCGUAAAGCGCGCGUAGGCGGUCUGAUAAGCCGGUUGUGAAAGCCCCGGGCUCAACCUGGGAACGGCAUCCGGAACUGUCAGGCUAGAGUGCAGGAGAGGAAGGUAGAAUUCCCGGUGUAGCGGUGAAAUGCGUAGAGAUCGGGAGGAAUACCAGUGGCGAAGGCGGCCUUCUGGACUGACACUGACGCUGAGGUGCGAAAGCGUGGGUAGCAAACAGGAUUAGAUACCCUGGUAGUC
Molecule: ribosomal RNA, 463 nt
Filed under: Vreelandella stevensii
Lineage: Bacteria; Pseudomonadati; Pseudomonadota; Gammaproteobacteria; Oceanospirillales; Halomonadaceae
Description: partial 16S ribosomal RNA
Rfam family: Bacterial small subunit ribosomal RNA
Source: RNAcentral